CCUACGGGAGGCAGCAGUGGGGAAUCUUGGACAAUGGUCGCAAGCCUGAUCCAGCUAUUCCGCGUGUGGGAUGACGGCCCUCGGUUUGUAAACCACCUUAGGACAGAACGCAAAGGAGCUAUCGAGUCAAUGGCUCUGCUGACGGUACUCUAAGACUAAGCCCCGGCUAACUACGUGCCAGCAGCCGCGGGACUACGUAGGGUUCUAGCGUUAAUCGGAAUUGCUGGGCGUAAAGGGGGUGCAGGCGGCUGAGUAAGACCGAGGUGAAAUCGCCGGGCGUAACCUGGGAACCGCAGAUGUAACUGGUUGGCUAGAGUGCGUGAGAGGGAGGUGGAAUUCCACGUGUAGCAGUGAAAUGCGUAGAUAUGUGGAAGAACACCGAUGGCGAAGGCAGCAUGCUGGGACGAAACUGACGCUCAGACACGAAAGCGUGGGUAUCAAACAGGAUUAGAUACCCUAGUAGUC
RNAcentral lists this ribosomal RNA (465 nucleotides) under uncultured bacterium. RNAcentral's name for it is "partial 16S ribosomal RNA". It matches the Rfam family "Bacterial small subunit ribosomal RNA", at positions 338 to 795 of the family's 1533-position model. The record is from RNAcentral.